Molecule: ribosomal RNA, 464 nt
Filed under: uncultured bacterium
Lineage: Bacteria
Description: partial 16S ribosomal RNA
Rfam family: Bacterial small subunit ribosomal RNA
Source: RNAcentral
CCUACGGGAGGCAGCAGUAGGGAAUUUUCGUCAAUGGGCGCAAGCCUGAACGAGCAAUGCCGCGUGAACGAGGAAGGUCUUCGGAUCGUAAAGUUCUGUUGAAGGGGAAAAAGAGCGGAGAGAGGAAAUGCUUUCUGAUUGAUAUUACCCUUCGAGGAAGUCACGGCUAACUACGUGCCAGAAGCCGCGGUAAUACGUAGGUGGCGAGCGUUAUCCGGAUUGAUUGGGCGUAAAGGGUGCGUAGGCGGCCUGCUAAGUCUGGAGGGAAAGGUACCGGCUCAACCGGUACAGGCGCUGGAAACUGGCGGGCUAGAGAGCAGGGGAGGGCGGUGGAACUCCAUGUGUAGCGGUAAAAUGCGUAGAUAUAUGGAAGAACACCAGUGGCGAAGGCGGCCGCCUGGCCUGUUACUGACGCUGAGGCACGAAAGCGUGGGGAGCAAAUAGGAUUAGAUACCCGGGUAGUC